Molecule: ribosomal RNA, 1304 nt
Filed under: Staphylococcus aureus
Lineage: Bacteria; Bacillati; Bacillota; Bacilli; Caryophanales; Staphylococcaceae
Description: partial 23S ribosomal RNA
Rfam family: Bacterial large subunit ribosomal RNA
Source: RNAcentral
CACUGCCGAGAAAAGCCUCUAGAUAGAAAAUAGGUGCCCGUACCGCAAACCGACACAGGUAGUCAAGAUGAGAAUUCUAAGGUGAGCGAGCGAACUCUCGUUAAGGAACUCGGCAAAAUGACCCCGUAACUUCGGGAGAAGGGGUGCUCUUUAGGGUUAACGCCCAGAAGAGCCGCAGUGAAUAGGCCCAAGCGACUGUUUAUCAAAAACACAGGUCUCUGCUAAACCGUAAGGUGAUGUAUAGGGGCUGACGCCUGCCCGGUGCUGGAAGGUUAAGAGGAGUGGUUAGCUUCUGCGAAGCUACGAAUCGAAGCCCCAGUAAACGGCGGCCGUAACUAUAACGGUCCUAAGGUAGCGAAAUUCCUUGUCGGGUAAGUUCCGACCCGCACGAAAGGCGUAACGAUUUGGGCACUGUCUCAACGAGAGACUCGGUGAAAUCAUAGUACCUGUGAAGAUGCAGGUUACCCGCGACAGGACGGAAAGACCCCGUGGAGCUUUACUGUAGCCUGAUAUUGAAAUUCGGCACAGCUUGUACAGGAUAGGUAGGAGCCUUUGAAACGUGAGCGCUAGCUUACGUGGAGGCGCUGGUGGGAUACUACCCUAGCUGUGUUGGCUUUCUAACCCGCACCACUUAUCGUGGUGGGAGACAGUGUCAGGCGGGCAGUUUGACUGGGGCGGUCGCCUCCUAAAAGGUAACGGAGGCGCUCAAAGGUUCCCUCAGAAUGGUUGGAAAUCAUUCAUAGAGUGUAAAGGCAUAAGGGAGCUUGACUGCGAGACCUACAAGUCGAGCAGGGUCGAAAGACGGACUUAGUGAUCCGGUGGUUCCGCAUGGAAGGGCCAUCGCUCAACGGAUAAAAGCUACCCCGGGGAUAACAGGCUUAUCUCCCCCAAGAGUUCACAUCGACGGGGAGGUUUGGCACCUCGAUGUCGGCUCAUCGCAUCCUGGGGCUGUAGUCGGUCCCAAGGGUUGGGCUGUUCGCCCAUUAAAGCGGUACGCGAGCUGGGUUCAGAACGUCGUGAGACAGUUCGGUCCCUAUCCGUCGUGGGCGUAGGAAAUUUGAGAGGAGCUGUCCUUAGUACGAGAGGACCGGGAUGGACAUACCUCUGGUGUACCAGUUGUCGUGCCAACGGCAUAGCUGGGUAGCUAUGUGUGGACGGGAUAAGUGCUGAAAGCAUCUAAGCAUGAAGCCCCCCUCAAGAUGAGAUUUCCCAACUUCGGUUAUAAGAUCCCUCAAAGAUGAUGAGGUUAAUAGGUUCGAGGUGGAAGCAUGGUGACAUGUGGAGCUGACGAAUACUAAUCGAUC